CGCAGGCGGUCUGUCAAGUCGGAUGUGAAAUCCCCGGGCUCAACCUGGGAACUGCAUUCGAAACUGGCAGGCUUGAGUCUUGUAGAGGGGGGUAGAAUUCCAGGUGUAGCGGUGAAAUGCGUAGAGAUCUGGAGGAAUACCGGUGGCGAAGGCGGCCCCCUGGACAAAGACUGACGCUCAGGUGCGAAAGCGUGGGGAGCAAACAGGAUUAGAUACCCUGGUAGUCCACGCCGUAAACGAUGUCUACUUGGAGGUUGUGCCCUUGAGGCGUGGCUUCCGGAGCUAACGCGUUAAGUAGACCGCCUGGGGAGUACGGCCGCAAGGUUAAAACUCAAAUGAAUUGACGGGGGCCCGCACAAGCGGUGGAGCAUGUGGUUUAAUUCGAUGCAACGCGAAGAACCUUACCUGGUCUUGACAUCCACAGAACUUUCCAGAGAUGGACUGGUGCCUUCGGGAACUGUGAGACAGGUGCUGCAUGGCUGUCGUCAGCUCGUGUUGUGAAAUGUUGGGUUAAGUCCCGCAACGAGCGCAACCCUUAUCCUUUGUUGCCAGCGGUCCGG
Molecule: ribosomal RNA, 560 nt
Filed under: Salmonella enterica
Lineage: Bacteria; Pseudomonadati; Pseudomonadota; Gammaproteobacteria; Enterobacterales; Enterobacteriaceae
Description: bacterial SSU rRNA
Rfam family: Bacterial small subunit ribosomal RNA
Source: RNAcentral